UACGUAGGGUGCAAGCGUUAAUCGGAAUUACUGGGCGUAAAGGGUGCGCAGGCGGUUUUGUAAGUCAGCUGUGAAAUCCCCGGGCUCAACCUGGGAAUGGCAGAUGAGACUGCAAGGCUAGAGUGUGUCAGAGGGGGGUAGAAUUCCACGUGUAGCAGUGAAAUGCGUAGAGAUGUGGAGGAAUACCGAUGGCGAAGGCAGCCCCCUGGGAUAACACUGACGCUCAGGCACGAAAGCGUGGGGAGCAAACAGG
Molecule: ribosomal RNA, 253 nt
Filed under: uncultured bacterium
Lineage: Bacteria
Description: partial 16S ribosomal RNA
Rfam family: Bacterial small subunit ribosomal RNA
Source: RNAcentral